AGCGGACCGACGGGAGCUUGCUCCCUUAGGUCAGCGGCGGACGGGUGAGUAACACGUGGGUAACCUGCCUGUAAGACUGGGAUAACUCCGGGAAACCGGGGCUAAUACCGGAUGCUUGAUUGAACCGCAUGGUUCAAUCAUAAAAGGUGGCUUUCAGCUACCACUUACAGAUGGACCCGCGGCGCAUUAGCUAGUUGGUGAGGUAACGGCUCACCAAGGCGACGAUGCGUAGCCGACCUGAGAGGGUGAUCGGCCACACUGGGACUGAGACACGGCCCAGACUCCUACGGGAGGCAGCAGUAGGGAAUCUUCCGCAAUGGACGAAAGUCUGACGGAGCAACGCCGCGUGAGUGAUGAAGGUUUUCGGAUCGUAAAACUCUGUUGUUAGGGAAGAACAAGUACCGUUCGAAUAGGGCGGCACCUUGACGGUACCUAACCAGAAAGCCACGGCUAACUACGUGCCAGCAGCCGCGGUAAUACGUAGGUGGCAAGCGUUGUCCGGAAUUAUUGGGCGUAAAGCGCGCGCAGGCGGUUUCUUAAGUCUGAUGUGAAAGCCCCCGGCUCAACCGGGGAGGGUCAUUGGAAACUGGGGAACUUGAGUGCAGAAGAGGAGAGUGGAAUUCCACGUGUAGCGGUGAAAUGCGUAGAGAUGUGGAGGAACACCAGUGGCGAAGGCGACUCUCUGGUCUGUAACUGACGCUGAGGCGCGAAAGCGUGGGGAG
This 722-nucleotide ribosomal RNA is filed under the name uncultured Bacilli bacterium. RNAcentral describes it as "bacterial SSU rRNA". It matches the Rfam family "Bacterial small subunit ribosomal RNA", at positions 65 to 768 of the family's 1533-position model. Lineage: Bacteria; Bacillati; Bacillota; Bacilli. The record is from RNAcentral.